UUCUUUUUUUACCCAGCAUGCAACACCAUUUGUUCCAUGAGCUUUAUUAUAACACUGAGAAAAAGUUAUGACACAACUCAUUAUUUACCCGUUCAUUACAUGCACCAACCAACCCAAAUUAGCAUUGCAGUGCACUGCAUUUCAACACUCAGGCACUGGUGUUUGCCAUCCCCAGUAGGAAAUCGGACGCUCAUCUGGUUGACCUGCCUGCCUUUCCUCUCCUUGCUUUCUCUAUCUCUUUGUACAAAAUGCACUACCUUGUCGAAGAGGAAGCGUUAUCCUCUUUGAGGGUUAAAAUAUUUGUCGAGCAAUAAUUUUUCUGUUCCAGCAACUACAGCAUAAACUGGAAAACGAAACCGAUUCUGAUUUGUUCACUGUGCUCACAGAGCGCGGCACCAGGUGUCACCGUGCGCUGCGCUUCCGAUCUCGAAGGAUCUAGCAAGCAGUUGAUGCAGCUAAAAAUGUGUGGUCAGUCGGCUUUUAUCGUUUUUUGUUGUGCAGAUUGUUAGUUCACCGUAAAUAUGUCUUGAUUUGUACUCAAGAGUGGAGCAAGUCCCCAAGGAACAGAGAUUGACGCAUCGGGGGAGCGAAGAACAGAAGCGAUGGAUGGUUACGCUGCUUGACUCUCGGCAUGUUCAAGAUGGCGAAGUUCCGAAUUCUUCGCUGUGUGAUGUGUGAUGUGCGCGUGUGUGCUCGUGAUGUGCCGUCAUAGCGCGGGCAUAUUUGUGCUGAAUGUGUUUCAUUUCGUCAACAAAACUCCACGCAAUCGCAUCGAAGAAGUCGUGUGUUCAGGAGCACGUAUGUGUUUGGAUGCGGAUAGCCUGCCCUCAACGGUAGUGCUGAGCUCAGCCGUGUUGGCUCAGCGCUACCCCCUCAACGGAUGUCAACAGUCUACGCACUCGUAACUUGCUCACGAGACCUCCUUGCUGUUGCAACUCUGAGGAUGGUUGCUUCAAAUGUGUAGGAACAAACAGCAGUGCCAGCGCUAUAUGUGCAUGAGGACGACGAGAGGGUUCCGCUCACGCCCUGAGUGGUGUAUUCUGACCACAACCGGGAACAGGCAGAGUUUCUCCACCUUUUUCUCGACAAGGAGCAGCUGGUCAUGGUCAAAAAUGCGGAGGAAGGGGUCGUCGCAAUCAUGAGUGCAUUUUUUGUAUUGAACAUAGUAUACGGGCCUAAAUCCUUCAACGUCAGUACAGUACUGGAAUGAUUGUUUUUUGGUUUGAAUGUAACAACGCCAAGAGUGGUUGUUACAAAGUUUGUGAACAGAGUUGUGCAGGCAAUGCGACGCCGAGGUUUAUGUACAUUAACAUAUGAAUGCUAGCCUGACAAUUUUGUGCAAUAGCUUGAGCAACAGUUUUGUGCAAUUUUUAAUGUAACAUUUUCUUUCCUUUUGAUCACGAUAAUAGCAUGAUCCAGUAACUUUUUCCGCUGCCUUUGUGCCAACCACUUUAUCUAUAGACUGCACCUUUUUUGUUUUUAUGACUUGGCAGACAAUGUAAUAGUGCCCAGGUGUAGGUCAGCAAAAAAGAAAUGUGGUGUACUGUAGUCUGCAUGGAUUUAUCAAAAAGAUUGCUGGGUGUUGCAAUGUACUGAAAAGAAGAGUACAAUACGUCUCGUUCUUAUUAGGUCUGCCUUAACAUUAAUGUAUGUGAAACAAUUGUCAGCAGUCUUGUACAAAUAUUACAGCUUGCUUGCUUUUCCUAAACAUUGUUUGUUUAUGAAACUUAUUUGCCAGCCUGGAGUAAGGGAACAAUGUCCCAGCUUAAAAGUACUGCAUGGUGCAACUGUAACGUUUGUAUUCACUUAUAGGGCACAUGAACACUGGCAGCCAGUGCUUAACAUUUCGUAACAUGCUGCUUGGUUAAUAUUUUAUAUUUUGCGCAUGUGUUGCAUAGUGCAACCUGCCAAAUACAAGUGAAAGUUUUUGUGGUUUGACUGUCAUUUUAUGAACAAAGUUUUAUGUUUAUUGUGUAUAACUUUAUUUAGCAGCUGACAGCUGACAUACUAGUCAAAACGCAACCGAAUAUCCAGUUUUUACAAGGUUUUACAAGGUUUUUAGCAGUUCUGGGUUAAAAAUGUUGCGUGGAAUAAGUAUCAGGCUGAAGUACUCUUGCUCGUUUAUUUUUUGUACAUGUGAUUCCAAGUGCCUAAUCUGAGUGAAAGCUAGUCUCUAUAUGCUAUAUAUACUGGUGUUUCUACAAAGAACGUACUAUUUAAAAAUAGCCGUUCUGAAGUAUAAGGACGGCUCUUUAGAAGACAUGCUGUCAGCGGUGCCGACCAUGGGGGUAUGGGUGAUAUCUGGUAAUUGCUAAUUAGUUGCUAAUUAGCAAAAAUGAAAUAUAUUUUACUUUCAGCGGACUCAUUGUAACUGGUAAAUUAAAGCAAGCUCUCUGCACAAGACAUGUGAACUUUUGGAUCUGGAAAAAUGCGAUUACCCGCAGAACUGCGGCGUGAUGAAUUUUGGCUGUCAGAGCACGCCAAAAUGAAACUGGGAUGCUGCUGAAACUCAACGCAACAUUCUGCUUACGUCGCCCAGCAGCGGGCAACCAGAGUGCUGCACGGAGCCCCAUUGCUGCCCAUUGUUGGGUGAUGUGAGCAGAACGUCCCCUCGAAGGGCGCGUCUUUGUGCUCACUGCAGCCUCGGGUACAGUUUCGCGUGCUGUGAUAGCCAAAUUCAUCGUGUCACAGUUGUGUGGGUAAUUGCAUUUUUUCCAGAUUCUGAAGUCUAUUUCAUUUCAUUUCAUUUUAAUACCUUAAAGACCCCUUGACAGGGGUAUUACAUAAGGGGUGGGAAUACAUUAGUACAUAAUUUGUAUAAUACAGAAAUGAAUACGCAAACAAUAAAAGAACAAAAGAAAACAACAUGAGAUAAAGUGUUACAUACGUCAGCGCAAACACAUAGACCUAAAUAAUACAAACUAAAUUGCACGAGCAUAUAAGUAUGUUAGCACAAGUCACUUUCAUUGUGAAAAGUGCGCAGUGAUACUCUCCAUAAACGUACGAGGGCAAGUGAUGGCGGCGAUUUGGUGGGGCAGGUUGUUCCAAUCUGUAGCGGCAAGGCAAAAGAAUGAGGCGGAAAAGGUGACAGUGCGCAUGCGAGG
Molecule: long non-coding RNA, 3104 nt
Organism: Dermacentor silvarum
Lineage: Eukaryota; Metazoa; Arthropoda; Arachnida; Ixodida; Ixodidae
Exons: 3
Source: RefSeq, a predicted model, not a curated record